Molecule: unclassified non-coding RNA, 252 nt
Filed under: Hevea brasiliensis (rubber tree)
Lineage: Eukaryota; Viridiplantae; Streptophyta; Magnoliopsida; Malpighiales; Euphorbiaceae
Source: RNAcentral
GGUGAUUAUGAAGACCAAAUGAUACCCACUUAUCCUAAUAAAGGUAUGGUAUAUAACAUGCUUGGUUAUGCAAUAAUCCAAGUCCAAUGUCAUUUAAUCUUGAAAUUGAGAUGAAUCAAAAAUAUAUAUCUGCAGUAAUAACGGAUAUAUCUAAGGUGGAGGAACCGAGUAGGCAGAGAUACGAUUAGUUGUAAUGAAAAGGUGUAUAUUUCUUUUAUUAAGCGAUGAAAUUAGCUAGUUACUUUAUUGUUG